CCCUUCUUUUUAAAAGCACCAUGCCAAAAUCAUCAGGCCUAAGCUUUUUAAGCUUAGCUCUGGCGAUAAUGCUAGUAUGGUUUGUGAUAAAGAAGGAAGAAUAAAGACACAGCUUCGCAAAUGAGUGUAGGAGGGACCUCUUUCCUAAUGUCCAGUGUCCUAUGUCUCAAGAUUCUGUGCUACAACC
Molecule: small nucleolar RNA, 187 nt
Organism: Astyanax mexicanus (Mexican tetra)
Lineage: Eukaryota; Metazoa; Chordata; Actinopteri; Characiformes; Acestrorhamphidae
Source: Ensembl